This 3841-nucleotide unclassified non-coding RNA is filed under the name Hevea brasiliensis (rubber tree). The record is from RNAcentral. Lineage: Eukaryota; Viridiplantae; Streptophyta; Magnoliopsida; Malpighiales; Euphorbiaceae.
UUCAUCCCUGAGGUCCUAAGAUUAGGAGAGGCUUGCUUAUUCAUUCAAAGUACUGUGAAAUUACGAGUUCAAACACAUCAGAGUAAAAAAAAUCAUUAAAAAAAAAACUAAAAUUUCUAUAUAGAUGGCAACUGAAAUAAUCAAGAAAGAGAACACAACUGUUACAAAAUCUCCAGGCCUGUUAUUUACACCAAUGCGUCAUUUGUCAUCUUUCAUCUUCCUGUUUUGCAGUGGAGUCAUCUAAGUGACCGCCAAAACUUUGGUUUUUCUCUAUUAUUUACACCUCUUUCAUGUUAAUUGUUCAACUUGAUAAGAGAAACUACCACUUUUCUCAUGGAGGGUCUCACAUCAGGCAGUGGUUCAGUGCAUUCAAGCCCCAAUUCAAGCAAUCUCAAAGCCUUUUUUUGCUCAUCUAUUUCCCAGAAACUGAUUUGCUCAUCGAGGAAGCAAAUGUACUCAUCAUUGUCUUGCAGUUUCUUCCGCAUCCAGGAGGAAAUAUCCUGACCUUCCUCAAAGCUGGGGUCUACUGGCAAUUUUCUACAAAGGAGCUCAAAUAAAAUGACUCCAUAGCUGUACACAUCAACUUUCUCUGUCAAUCGGAUGGCAUAUGCGUUUUCUGGUGCUAUGUAACCCAAUGUUCCAACAACUGAAGACCUUGUUGUGCUCAAAUCAGAACCAAGGAGCAAUUUUGCCAUCCCAAAAUCUCCAAUCUUUGGUUCCAAUUCACAAUCCAUCAAAAUGUUGUCUGACUUGAUAUCUCUGUGAAUAAUUUGUGGCACACAGUCAUGGUGAAGGUAUGAAAGGCCUUGAGCAAUUCCAAAAGCAAUGCGAUGUCUAGUGUCCCAGUUCAAAACCAAGCGAGGUUCCUGUCUGUGCAGGACAUCAAAAAGUGUCCCUUCAGGCAUGUACUCGGUAACAAUGAACCCAUAUCCAUCUUUGAUGCAGUAACCUGCCAAUCUAAUUACAUUCCGGUGCCUAACCAAGCUCAGGGUUCUCAUUUCAAGGCUAAAGUUUGUCUCAGAUAAAUUCACCUUCUUGACAGCCCAAUGCUUCCUGGAGUUCAUAGUUUUUGUCCGGUAUACUGUCCCAUGCUUACCUCUCCCAAUAACAUACUUGUCACUCCAGCCUUCAGUAGCACGCAUUAUAUCUUCAAAUUUCAAAUCCUCUGGUAAAUCUUCUGUUACCGACUGACAUUCACGAAGAAGUGAUUGAUCGCGGGAGUAUUUCUGCUGAAGGCCUCGAACCGCUGUAAUAUAAAUCACAACAAAAAGCAAUGAUACGGAGACAACUGCACCAACAACUAUACCAGCCAGGUGAUACCUUCUUGUACGGCCAUCUCUAACUUCUCCACAGUAUCUUGCAUCACUACCUAGCAAACAAAGUUCUGGGUUUCCAAGAAAAGACCCUGGAUAUGAAACCAUUAUUUUCAUCCAUGAAGCUGGGAGUUUUCCUGAGAGUUGAUUGAACGAUAUGUUCACAAAGUAAAGGGAGAUCAUGUUGUUUAGUUCUGUUGGUAUCUCACCAGAGAAACCGUUGCUUGAGAGAUCAAGAAUCUGUAACUUGUCUAGAUUGCCAAGGCAUCCUGGGAUUUGACCAGAGAGCUUGUUAUAGCUCAAAUUAAGAACUGAACUAAAAUGGUUAAGAUUACUCAAACUACAGGGAAUAGGACCUUCAAGCUUGUUAUUAGAAAGCUGUAACUCAAAGAGAUUUUGAAGGGGAGAAAAAAUGUUGGGAAUUACUCCGCUAAGUUUGUUCUCUUGAAGGAGAAGGCUUUGCAAUUUCACCAAUGAAGUGAUCUCAGUAGGAAUUUUCCCUGAGAGAUCAUUCUUACUUAGAUCCACUUUAAUCAACUUUCUGCAAUGACCAAGGUCAGAGGGAAUGUUCCCAGUUAGUCUAUUAGAAGCAACUCUUAAGAUUUGAAGAUUUGUAAGCUUUCCAAGCUCAGGAGGUAUAGCACUAGAUAGUCUAUUUUCUGAAAAAUCAAUCAUUGUUAGAUUGCUCCAAAAACCAAAUACUGGAGGUAUGUUCCCUUCAAGCCAGUUUCUGCGAAUCUCUAGAAACGAAAUCCCAGAAUUCCUUUCCAAAUCAUCUGGUAUUCUCCCUUUCAGAAGAUUGUUACUAAUAAUCACCCUCCUAAGGGACAAACAUUUUCCAAUGAAGGUUGGAAAACUCCCAUUAAACUUGUUGUUCCCAAGGGCCAGAACUGAAAGAUUAUUGCCAUUGCAUAUGCUAGAAGGAAUUGAUCCACGGAGGUGGUUACCAGUUAGAUCCAGUUUGACUAGACCUGGAGAAUUUCUCCCAAGGUCAGAAGGUAACUCUCCCGUAAGGUUAUUAUGAGCUAAUGAAAGAAAGUUGAUUUUUUUCAAAUGGGUAAUUGUGGAAGGGAUUCUGCCAGAUAAAUUAUUGUCAUACAUGGCCAAUUGGACAAGGUUACUCAUUCUUCCUAUCUGCCAGGGAAUUUCGCCUCCAAAACGAUUAUUGAACAUAAAAAGAACUUUAAGAUUCUCAAGAUUACAAAUUUCAGGAGGGAUACGCCCACCAAUAAAGUUAUUCUGAAUCCUAAGUUCAGCAAGUGAACUGCAAUUUCCAAGCUCAGGAGGCAGUGAGCCAUUUAGCUUGUUAUCAAAGAGAAUUAGACUGUUCAGAUAUUUGAGAUUUCCAAUUGACUGAGGAAUCUGGCCAACUAGAUUAUUACUAGAAAGAGCAAUAACCUUUAACUGAGAGCACUGAGCUAUCCUCUCAGAUAUGGUACCAUUGAGCUUAUUCCCCGAAAGAACAAGUUCUUGUAAAUUUUCAAGACCCCACAAAGUUUCUGGAAUUUCCCCUUUAAGUUUGUUUUCAUCAAGAUAAAGAACUUGAAGUUGCUGAAGACCCUUGAAAAUCUCUGGUGCAAUGACCCCUUCAAAUUUGUUUUUAGAUGCCAUAAACAUGGUAAGGUUUUGGCAGUUACUAAGAGAAAGAGGCAAAGAUCCAGAAAAUGCAUUCCCAUGAAUCCAAAGAUCAUAGAUUGCACAAGAAGGUGAGAAAUUUGGUAAUGACCCAGUUAAGUUAUUUGUGUUCAGAUACAGGAACUUCAAUUUUGACAGUGAAAAUACUUCACUUGGAACCUCACCACUUAAAUAAUUGUUAUACAAUCCUAUGUAUUCAAGAUUGGAGCAAAAGCUUACCUCAGGAGGAAUAUUACCAGAGAGAGAAUUAUAGCCCAAGUCCACCAGUAAAAGAAGCUUUGAUUGAAAAAGCUCAGUAGGGAUCAAACCUUCAAAACCAUUGUCAUUUAGAAGAAUGGUAUUGAGAUGGCCACAAUUUCCAAGCAGCUGGGGAAUAACACCAGUGAAAUUAUUGCCACUGAGGUCAAGAGAGACCAAAUGUUUGUGGAGGCAGAGAUAGGAAAUGGAGUUGUUCAAGAUCCCAGAUAGACCGAAUCCUGAAAGAUUCAAAGCCUUAACUUGAAAGUUCUUGAUGGAAUAGCAAGAAACUCCUGGCCAGUUGCAAGGAGAAGAAGUUGAAUUUGAAAGAUUCCAUGGCAAGAGCUGCUGAGAAACUGGUGGAAGACUGUCACGAAACUGCAGAAGGUAAAUUGCAGAUGGAGGUAACGAGAGUGAUGAAGCUAGAAAAGGGAUAUGAGAGAUGAGAACAAAAUAUGGACACAGCAAGAACAUGGUAAGAGCCAUAUAGCUAAAAGUGGCAAGAAAACUGUGACAUGUUGUUUUCCUUUUCUUGAUUGAUUUAGAAAUCAUUUCUUGCAUCUGCCAUUUGAGGGUUGAACUUGAAUUUCUCUAAAUGAAGGUUUUCUGGGUGCUGCUUCUGCUUUCUACUAUUGCAUUUUGAUUGUUUUCUUUUG